Molecule: ribosomal RNA, 1273 nt
Filed under: metagenome
Description: bacterial SSU rRNA
Rfam family: Bacterial small subunit ribosomal RNA
Source: RNAcentral
AUUAGCUAGUUGGUGAGGUAAAAGCUUAUCCAAGGCCGAGAUGGGUAGCUGGUCUGAGAGGAUGAUCAGCCACACUGGAACUGAAACACGGUCCAGACUCCUACGGGAGGCAGCAGUUGGGAAUCUUGCGCAAUGGAGGAAACUCUGACGCAGCGACGCCGCGUGAGCGAAGAAGGCCUUCGGGUUGUAAGCUCUGUCAGAAGGGAAGAACGCAUAGAAUUUAUAAUUCGGUGUUGACGGUACCUUCAGAGGAAGCACCGGCUAACUCUGUGCCAGCAGCCGCGGUAAUACAGAGGGUGCAAGCGUUGUUCGGAAUCACUGGGCGUAAAGAGUUCGUAGGUGGACUUAUUAGUAUAGGGUUAAAUACCGGGGCCUAACCCCGGAACUGCUCUAUAAACGGUAAGUCUAGAGUACUAGAGAGGAUAGCGGAAUUCCUGGUGUAGAGGUGAAAUUCGUAGAUAUCAGGAGGAACAUCAGAGGCGAAGGCGGCUAUCUGGCUAGGCACUGACACUAAAGAACGAAAGCAUGGGGAUCAAACAGGAUUAGAUACCCUGGUAGUCCAUGCCAUAAACGAUGACAACUAGACGUGGGAAUUGGUUGACAAUUUCCGUGUCGAAGCUAACGCGUUAAGUUGUCCGCCUGGGAAGUACGGUCGCAAGACUAAAACUCAAAGGAAUUGACGGGGACCCGCACAAGCGGUGGAUUAUGUGGUUUAAUUCGAAGCAACGCGCAGAACCUUACCUGGGCUUGACUUCUCAAGAAAAGCGCUAGAGAUAGCGCCUUAGGAUAUAGCAAUAUAUCCUCUUGAAGACAGGUGCUGCAUGGCUGUCGUCAGCUCGUGUUGUGAAAUAUUGGGUUAAGUCCCGCAACGAGCGCAACCCCUAUCUUUAGUUGCCAGCAUUAAGUUGGGCACUCUAGAGAGACUGCCUGCGUUAAGCAGGAGGAAGGUGGGGACGACGUCAAGUCCUCAUGGCCUUUAUGUCCAGGGCUACACACGUAAUACAAUGGCAAGUACAAAGGGUCGCGAAUCCGUGAGGUGAAGCUAACCUCAAAAAACUUGUCUCAGUUCGGAUUGAAGUCUGCAACUCGACUUCAUGAAGUUGGAAUCGCUAGUAAUCGCGGAUAAGUACGCCGCGGUGAAUACGUUCCCGGGUCUUGUACACACCGCCCGUCACACCAUGAAAGCUGAUUGCGCCAGACGUCCCAUUAGCUAACCUUGUGAAGCGUGGGCCCAAGGCUCGAUCGGUGAUUGGGGUGAAGUCGUAACAAGGUA